RNAcentral lists this long non-coding RNA (458 nucleotides) under Brachypodium distachyon (stiff brome). RNAcentral describes it as "long non-coding RNA (BDIS_LNC002590)". The record is from RNAcentral. Lineage: Eukaryota; Viridiplantae; Streptophyta; Magnoliopsida; Poales; Poaceae.
GUGUCCAUGAUCCAUCACUUCCUUUUAUCUGCUUGAAAUGAAAUCACUCUGUUUGGACUGACGAAUUCCAGGACAAGCUCCCUCGCCUGUCUUGUGCGUUGUUCGUCAGCAACCUUACAUACACGUCAAACAGAAACGAAAAAAAAAACAGAUGGAGUAUCACCAUUCCAGUGUAAAAAAGAUCAAGUAAGAAAAUGGCAAAAUGGUUGACCUACUCCAGUCUUGGAGCCGGUUCAACUAAAAAGAGGUAGCCUUGCAUUCUUCCAACUGGCACAGGGUAUAAACUACAGCCCAAUUUGAACAGCUGGCCAUUCUGGAAUGAAGGGCUAAUGUAAUCACGGGGGCUUAAUGUAAUCAUAGGGUUGUGAGGCUACUACUACUACUAAAGUUCUGAAGACUUUGUACAGGCAGUAGGAGUACUAUACUCCGCAGUCCGUACCAAACACUUGACUCGGGCA